This is a long non-coding RNA of Acanthopagrus latus (yellowfin seabream), 1683 nucleotides long. RefSeq lists it as uncharacterized. NCBI's taxonomy places the organism in Eukaryota, Metazoa, Chordata, Actinopteri, Spariformes, Sparidae. The record is from RefSeq and is a predicted model, not a curated record. The transcript is spliced from 3 exons.
GUAUGGGAUCUCAGAGCUUUCCUUACUAAAGCCAUGGCUUUAGUUUCAAACGUCUGACAAAAAUCAUGAAAAUGUUUAAAAUAUCAGCAUCAUAUUCCCUCAGGUGUAGGGACAAAAAAUAAUCAAUUAUGAAGGACGUCAUCUGCAGAGGAAUCCUGUGAAGUCAUCCAUCCAGUCAGCAGAUCAAGGAGGCUUGUUGGCUUGUUCACAUAGCACGGAUCAUCUUGUCAACAAGAUUAUUUGAAGAUUGGAAAAAAAAAAAUCAAAAGGACGUUAUGAGAGAAACCAUGAUGGGCCUGAAUAGUAGAUUCUGUUCUACUUUAAGAUUGAUUCCAAUCACCAACCGUCAGAUUGUCCAUCUCUAAAAACAACCUGUUCUUUAAUUGCUUUUUGUACAUCUGCUGACCAUCAUCUACAUGAAAUACAUAUGAAUAUUGUUUCUCUUACAGACAAUAGCAAAUAUAAUGCAGUCAGUGUUGAAAUCUAGGACUUCCUGAUACUUGUCGUCACAUCAGCCUAUAUGCUGAUGACACUGAUGUGUUUUCUUUGAAAGGUGGUCUUUUGCCCCUAAAUAUACCAAAUAACAAUCUCAGCAAACUGAAAUUAUUCCACUUGAUGUAGUUGAAACAGUUCACAGCUUUCAGUAGACUAGUAUUCAUUUCAACUUAGAACAAUGUACUCAAUAUAACUGGUAAAAUGAAUUUUAAUGAUUGCAUGUAAAUAAUACAGAUGAUUCAUGAAGGCAACUAGUCAGAAUGUGGAGUAGUGCAUGUAUUUUAGUAAUUAUCAUCAACAGGCCUGAUGCUGGUAUCACAAAUGAUUAAUAUAAGCAGGCAGUGAGUAAAUGAGUCAAACAGCGAUCAGUUACAUUCAGUCAGAAGGUAAAACUCUCACCUUGUUUGUGAAUGUUUGGUGUCACUGCUGAAUAAUGGAGGAAAUUCUCUGGACUGCUCACUCUUCGCAGACUUGAAGCUGAUCGUUGAAGAUGCUGAACCUCUCUCAGAUCCACUUUCACUCAUCUUCUGGUCUUCAGCGUGUCUACAUAAAGGAUUAGUUUCAGUGACUGGUGGAUCGUCUCUGGAGCCGUCAGCCUUCACAGGCUUAAAGCCGACUGUUGAAGAUUCUGAUCCACUCAUCUUCAAGCCUUCAGUAAAUCUAUGAGAUAGAGAUCAAUAACACUUCAGAAUACAUCGAGCUUCACUGCACUCUAGAAAAAGCAUGAAGGAUUCAGACAUCAUGUGAUCUGAUAAUGUUUUUCUGUAGAAUUCAUGAAGUUUGUUUUUAAGAGACUCUGAAAUAAUAAAAAUAUAAAAUGUUUCCACCCUCAUAUACCACAUACAUUACAUCUGUAUAGACAAAAUAAUGAUACUCCUCCCAUGUACUUCUUAAAUAUGACCACCAGAUGGCAGUGCACACCUGAAUGCCAUCCUCAGAUAUCUGCAGGGGUUGAUAGGAGAUGGGAUCUCUGGACAUGCCUGUCUGUGGUGUCACACUUCAAUACAGUAACCUGAAAAUAUAUGGAAACAUGUUACUAUAACAAGAACAACUGUCAUCUAUGUGUCACGUGCAACAUUAAGCAAUUGUCAACACAAAGCUUUGUGAAAAAAGUUGGAGGGAAAAUACAUUCAUCAACAAAACAUGUUGAAAAAAGGAAAUUAUGCAAAAUAAGUGCAAAGAAAUCAA